RNAcentral lists this long non-coding RNA (1444 nucleotides) under Lathyrus oleraceus (garden pea). RNAcentral's name for it is "Pisum sativum (pea) long non-coding RNA (PSAT_LNC028257)". Lineage: Eukaryota; Viridiplantae; Streptophyta; Magnoliopsida; Fabales; Fabaceae. The record is from RNAcentral.
ACAAAUUCCAUCAAAUUCAAGUGAAAUGCACUCACACUUUUCACAUUUUUGCAUAAUCCAAAGUUCAACCCCUAGCCUAAUUCUAACUUUUAUAUAACAGUAGUUUUUCACAUCAGAAAAUCAUCCACAACUCACCCUUUCAAUUGCUAAAGCUCUAUCAAAUUGAAUUCUCAAAAUUUAAGUUUCUUCACUUUGAGUUCUUGAGAAAUUGUGUUUUCACUUUCAAUGCAUUGAAUUUACAUAAUCAUUACCUACACAAAUCACCAACCAAAGUAGUCCAAAUCAAGAUCAAAUGUUUAAUUCGAUUUUGAACUCAAUUUUUAAAUUUUAUCGGAUCUUUAAUUUGAGCUUGGAUUUGAGUAGAGGUUGAGAGGAUUCCAAAUCUAAAAAAAUGCAUGAACCGAAAGUUUGCUUGGACCUUCGUCAGAGCUUGAUCGGAGAGCCACAUGUUAACCAUUAUUGUCGACGAGUUCUUGAGGUUUUUUUUGUCAAAGUAAGUAUAAUCCUCGUUUUUCUUGUGUUUUAUGUGUGUUAGGAUGUAUAUACAUGCUUAAGGAACUUAUUUCAAUCAUUAGUUGCAUGAAAAUACAUUUAAUUUGAAUUUCUAAAAAAUUGCUCAGGAAUACUCAUGAACUAAAGAACACAAAAAUGAGAAAACUAUGAAUCUCAAUCAUAAACUACAAACUCAUACCGUUUAAACUGGUUUUUCGCGCUGAUCACAAAUAUGUAAUUAGUUUUGUGUUUGGAUGUGUAUUUUGACUAGAUCGAACGCUUUUUCAUUAUAUUUUUCAUCCACGUUUUGCCUUGAUUCUCAUAAACCGUAACUUGUUUGCUAAAUUUGAUUGCAUAUUUGGAUUCAUGGAAAAAAUCCAAGUCCAACAGUAUAUAAUUUGUAAUUUAAUUAUUUGAAUUGGUGAUUCUAUAAUUUUUUUCUUGAGAUUGUUGAAAAAAUGACGAAUAUUAUUGGAAAGGAUGAACAAUUGUCGGAUUUAAUCUCAAUGACUAGAUCAAUCAGAUGCCUUUUUUAUUUUGAACCCUGCGCUGUCACUUGUCAAUUAUUGGCUGGCUAGUGUUAGUUGUAAACAUGCUACCGAACUCAAUCCUAGAUGUUGAUCAUAUCCAGUGAUGGAGAUGUCAGAGUUAAUCGUUUGGGUUUGGUUGACAGCGCAUGUAGGCCUCCUCAAUUGGCCAGAUUGUUGCGCCCACCCCCCAUUUUUUUUUGCUUUUAUCAUCUAUUUAUAUUUUAUUUUUGUGUAAUGGAAUUGGAUUGAGCUUUGGGACCAUUUUUGGUUAUCUUUUUUUAAUUUUUUUUUCUACUUCCCUGCUCCAAUGCCACCACCUUUUCUUUUAUUAUUAUUAUUUUUAUUUUUUUUGUAAAUUAUUUUUAAUUAAUAAAAUAAUUAAAGAAUAAAUAAAUAAUGAUAAGUAAAUGUUUUCUAAAAAA